UCUAGUGGCGGACGGGUGAGUAACACGUGAGAAUUUACCUUUAGGAGGGGGAUAACAAUUGGAAACGAAUGCUAAUACCCCAUAUGCUUCAGAGUGAAAUGGAUUUAUAUUUAUCCGCCUAAAGAGAAGCUCGCGGCUGAUUAGCUUGUUGGUAAGGUAAGAGCUUACCAAGGCGACGAUCAGUAUCUGGUUUGAGAGGACGAUCAGACACACUGGAACUGAGACACGGUCCAGACUCCUACGGGAGGCAGCAGUGGGGAAUUUUCCGCAAUGGGCGAGAGCCUGACGGGGCAAUACCGCGUGAGGGAAGACUGCCUAUGGGUUGUAAACCUCUUUUUUCAGGGAGGAAUAAAAUGACGUGUACCUGAAGAAUAAGCAUCGGCUAACUCCGUGCCAGCAGCCGCGGUAAGACGGAGGAUGCAAGCGUUAUCCGGAAUCACUGGGCGUAAAGCGUCUGUAGGUGGUUUAAUAAGUCAACUGUUAAAUCUUGAGGCUCAACUUCAAAAUCGCAGUCGAAACUAUUAGACUAGAGUAUAGUA
RNAcentral lists this ribosomal RNA (539 nucleotides) under uncultured Thalassiosira. RNAcentral describes it as "bacterial SSU rRNA". It matches the Rfam family "Bacterial small subunit ribosomal RNA", at positions 91 to 653 of the family's 1533-position model. Lineage: Eukaryota; Bacillariophyta; Thalassiosirophyceae; Thalassiosirales; Thalassiosiraceae. The record is from RNAcentral.